GGGAACGGCAUCUCAUUACAGAGGGAGGUCAGGUGGCUGGGACAAGGAGGCUAUUUUCGACCUUUGGGAAUUACAGCUGAACGUGAGAUUUGUGUUCGGACAGAGGAAAGCCAUAUCAUUUGGCUUGUUUACACCUUUGGCUAGUGUGAAUAAUGCUGCUAUGAACAAAGACAUGCAGAUACCUGCUGGGGCCCCUGCUCUCAGUUCUUUUCAGAAUACACCAGAAGUAGAAUUGCUGCAUCGUGUGUGUAUCUUGGAAGUCUUUCCAAGUGGGUCGACAGAAGGAUACUUCAAUAAAAAUGGGCAACACCGCUGGACAGCCAUCAGAGCCAUGAAGUCCCUGGCUUAGGGGAAGGCAGA
This 360-nucleotide long non-coding RNA is filed under the name Homo sapiens (human). RNAcentral describes it as "non-protein coding lnc-PSG9-4:1". Lineage: Eukaryota; Metazoa; Chordata; Mammalia; Primates; Hominidae. The record is from RNAcentral.